UAAUACGUAGGGGGCAAGCGUUGUCCGGAUUUACUGGGCGUAAAGCGCCUGUAGGCGGAAGCUUAAGCGGUACCUGAAAGCCCCCGGCUCAACCGGGGAAGGUGGCGCCGAACUGGGCUUCUUGAGGGCGAUAGAGGAAGGUGGAAUUCCGGGUGUAGCGGUGAAAUGCGUAGAGAUCCGGAGGAACACCAGUGGCGAAGGCGGCCUUCUGGGUCGACCCUGACGCUGAGAGGCGAAAGCGUGGGGAGCGAACGGGAUUAGAUACCCCGGUAGUCCACGCCGUAAACGAUGGUCACUAGGUGUGUGCGGUAUCGACCCCGCACGUGCCGGCGCUAACGCAUUAAGUGACCCGCCUGGGGAGUACGGCCGCAAGGUUG
RNAcentral lists this ribosomal RNA (377 nucleotides) under uncultured bacterium. RNAcentral describes it as "bacterial SSU rRNA". It matches the Rfam family "Bacterial small subunit ribosomal RNA", at positions 521 to 896 of the family's 1533-position model. The record is from RNAcentral.